UGAGUUCUCCCUGACUCCUUGAGAGUCCUGAAGGAACGUUGAAGACGACGACGUUGAUAGGCCGGGUGUGUAAGCGCAGCGAUGCGUUGAGCUAACCGGUACUAAUGAACCGUGAGGCUUAACCUU
This 126-nucleotide ribosomal RNA is filed under the name Escherichia coli. Its description in RNAcentral is "partial 23S ribosomal RNA". It matches the Rfam family "Bacterial large subunit ribosomal RNA", at positions 2805 to 2925 of the family's 2925-position model. RNAcentral also lists the same sequence under 1 other name. Lineage: Bacteria; Pseudomonadati; Pseudomonadota; Gammaproteobacteria; Enterobacterales; Enterobacteriaceae. The record is from RNAcentral.